GUGCACGCUGGCGGUAGGCCUAACACAUGCCAGUCGAACGGCAGCACGGUAAGAGCUUGCUCUUACGGGUGGCGAGUGGCGGACGGGUGAGGAAUACAUCGGAAUCUACUUUUUCGUGGGGGAUAACGUAGGGAAACUUACGCUAAUACCGCAUACGACCUACGGGUGAAAGCAGGGGAUCUUCGGACCUUGCGCGAUUGAAUGAGCCGAUGUCGGAUUAGCUAGUUGGCGGGGUAAAGGCCCACCAAGGCGACGAUCCGUAGCUGGUCUGAGAGGAUGAUCAGCCACACUGGAACUGAGACACGGUCCAGACUCCUACGGGAGGCAGCAGUGGGGAAUAUUGGACAAUGGGCGCAAGCCUGAUCCAGCCAUACCGCGUGGGUGAAGAAGGCCUUCGGGUUGUAAAGCCCUUUUGUUGGGAAAGAAAAGCAGCAGGUUAAUACCCCGCUGUUCUGACGGUACCCAAAGAAUAAGCACCGGCUAACUUCGUG
RNAcentral lists this ribosomal RNA (491 nucleotides) under uncultured bacterium. RNAcentral's name for it is "partial 16S ribosomal RNA". It matches the Rfam family "Bacterial small subunit ribosomal RNA", at positions 29 to 507 of the family's 1533-position model. The record is from RNAcentral.